Molecule: ribosomal RNA, 468 nt
Filed under: uncultured bacterium
Lineage: Bacteria
Description: partial 16S ribosomal RNA
Rfam family: Bacterial small subunit ribosomal RNA
Source: RNAcentral
GACGAACGCUGGCGGCGUGCUUAACACAUGCAAGUCGAACGGAAAGGCCCUGCCUUUGUGGGGUGCUCGAGUGGCGAACGGGUGAGUAACACGUGAGUAACCUGCCCUUGACUUUGGGAUAACUUCAGGAAACUGGGGCUAAUACCGGAUAGGAGCUCCUGCUGCAUGGUGGGGGUUGGAAAGUUUCGGCGGUUGGGGAUGGCCUCGCGGCAUAUCAGCUUGUUGGUGGGGUAGUGGCUUACCAAGGCGUUGACGGGUAGCCGGCCUGAGAGGGUGACCGGCCACAUUGGGACUGAGAUACGGCCCAGACUCCUACGGGAGGCAGCAGUGGGGAAUAUUGCACAAUGGGCGGAAGCCUGAUGCAGCAACGCCGCGUGCGGGAUGACGGCCUUCGGGUUGUAAACCGCUUUCGCCUGUGACGAAGCGUGAGUGACGGUAAUGGGUAAAGAAGCACCGGCUAACUACGUG